This 391-nucleotide ribosomal RNA is filed under the name Tremella caloplacae. Its description in RNAcentral is "partial large subunit ribosomal RNA". It matches the Rfam family "Eukaryotic large subunit ribosomal RNA", at positions 1 to 388 of the family's 3401-position model. The record is from RNAcentral. Lineage: Eukaryota; Fungi; Basidiomycota; Tremellomycetes; Tremellales; Tremellaceae.
GACCUCAAAUCAGGUAGGGCUACCCGCUGAACUUAAGCAUAUCAAUAAGCGGAGGAAAAGAAACUAACAAGGAUUCCCCUAGUAACGGCGAGCGAACAGGGAAGAGCUCAAAUUUGAAAUCUGGCGUCCUCAGGGCGUCCGAGUUGUAAUCUAUAGAGAUGUUUUCCGUGCCGGACCGUGUCCAAGUCCCUUGGAACAGGGUAUCAGAGAGGGUGACAAUCCCGUACUCGACACGACGACCGGCGCUCUGUGAUACGUCUUCUACGAGUCGAGUUGUUUGGGAAUGCAGCUCAAAAUGGGUGGUGAGUUCCAUCUAAGGCUAAAUAUUGGCGAGAGACCGAUAGCGAACAAGUACCGUGAGGGAAAGAUGAAAAGCACUUGGAAAGAGAGU